This 253-nucleotide ribosomal RNA is filed under the name uncultured bacterium. Its description in RNAcentral is "partial 16S ribosomal RNA". It matches the Rfam family "Bacterial small subunit ribosomal RNA", at positions 524 to 776 of the family's 1533-position model. The record is from RNAcentral.
UACAGAGGGUGCAAGCGUUAAUCGGAAUUAUUGGGCGUAAAGCGCACGUAGGCGGCUUGGCAAGUCGGAUGUGAAAUCCCUCGGCUCAACCUAGGAAGUGCAUCCGAAACUGCCGAGCUUGAGUACUUAAGAGGAUCGCGGAAUUCCCGGUGUAGAGGUGAAAUUCGUAGAUAUCGGGAGGAACACCAGUGGCGAAGGCGGCGAUCUGGGAAGAUACUGACGCUGAGGUGCGAAAGCGUGGGGAGCAAACAGG